RNAcentral lists this ribosomal RNA (437 nucleotides) under Allende sp. 889. Its description in RNAcentral is "SSU rRNA". It matches the Rfam family "Eukaryotic small subunit ribosomal RNA", at positions 997 to 1456 of the family's 1831-position model. The record is from RNAcentral. Lineage: Eukaryota; Metazoa; Arthropoda; Arachnida; Araneae; Tetragnathidae.
UUCGAAGGCGAUCAGAUACCGCCCUAGUUCUAACCAUAAACGAUGCCAGCCAGCGAUCCGGCUGUGUUCCUCAAAUGACACGCCGGGCAGCUUCCGGGAAACCAAAGCUUUUGGGUUCCGGGGGGAGUAUGGUUGCAAAGCUGAAACUUAAAGGAAUUGACGGAAGCGCACACAAGGAAUGGGGCCUGCGGCUUAAUUUGACUCAACACGGUGAAACUCACCCGGCCCAGACACAGGAAGGAUUGACAGAUUGAGAGCUCUUUCUUGAUUCUGUGACAGGUGGUGCAUGGCCGUUUCUAGUUGGUGGAGUGAUUUGUCUGCUUUAUUGCGAUAACGAGCGAGACUCUAGCCUACUAAAUAGACGUUCCGAUCCUUCUGAGUCGGACGUUCUUCUUAGAGGGACAAGCGGUGUUCAGCCGCACGAAACAGAGCAAUAA